Molecule: long non-coding RNA, 412 nt
Filed under: Linum usitatissimum (flax)
Lineage: Eukaryota; Viridiplantae; Streptophyta; Magnoliopsida; Malpighiales; Linaceae
Description: long non-coding RNA (LUSI_LNC002170)
Source: RNAcentral
AAUUUUAAGGCCCAAACUCAGUCUUCAGUUUUCACGGUUCACAGUACCUUCCGGGAAGCUACAAUGCUAAAUUGACCAGACUGGACUUUUCCGACGACUACUAUUUUUCAACAUUUCCAGCCGGCGGCUAGUACAAGUCAUCCUCUCUGACCCCGAUCCCGACUCUCUGACUCGUUACGCCACUACGCGAUUUAAAAUUGAAUUGAACCACUCCCCCACUACGACCUUUCAAAUCGAACCACUCUAUAAAUAAGCAACGACCCCAUAUCCACCUUUUGCAUAUCUCAGAUUUCAUUUCCAAUCAUAACAAUGGAUUCCUCACCGUCGCCGUUAAGCCGACAAGCCGUCACCAUCAAGUCUCCCUUCCACCAAACGAGGAGAAGAAGCAUUAAGGUCUGGAAGAUGAAGAUCA